UUUAAUAAAGAAGGUCUAGGAUAUACCGGUGAAAUAAGUGAAUCAAAAGAUAAAGUAUUAUAUAACGUUAAAAUUAAGGAAAAUGAAAGUAAUAUAUCUCCCUUCACAAAAUGUUCCUAUUAAACAGAAAUGGCCACUCUUUUUAUAUGUGCAAUGCUAGAAAUGGAAACUAUAAAGGAAAGAUGAUUUGGGUUCCCUAAGGAACAUAUACUGCAGCAACCAUCACAAGAAGAGAAUUUCACAAACAACAUUAUUAUACUUCUCACAAUCCAGUUACUCACAGAAUGCUUCUUUCUACUAAGAUUGAUUAUCCUAUGCCGAGUUUUGUAAAGGAAACUUCAAAUGCUCUUUAUAAAAAU
RNAcentral lists this long non-coding RNA (359 nucleotides) under Panax ginseng (ginseng). RNAcentral's name for it is "long non-coding RNA (PGIN_LNC001216)". The record is from RNAcentral. Lineage: Eukaryota; Viridiplantae; Streptophyta; Magnoliopsida; Apiales; Araliaceae.